Molecule: ribosomal RNA, 460 nt
Filed under: uncultured bacterium
Lineage: Bacteria
Description: partial 16S ribosomal RNA
Rfam family: Bacterial small subunit ribosomal RNA
Source: RNAcentral
CCUACGGGUGGCAGCAGUGAGGAAUAUUGGUCAAUGGGCGCGAGCCUGAACCAGCCAAGUAGCGUGAAGGAUGACUGCCCUACGGGUUGUAAACUUCUUUUAUAAAGGAAUAAAGUGAGGCACGUGUGCCCUUUUGUAUGUACUUUAUGAAUAAGGAUCGGCUAACUCCGUGCCAGCAGCCGCGGUAAUACGGAGGAUCCGAGCGUUAUCCGGAUUUAUUGGGUUUAAAGGGAGCGUAGAUGGGUUGUUAAGUCAGUUGUGAAAGUUUGUGGCUCAACCGUAAAAUUGCAAUUGAUACUGGCAGUCUUGAGUACAGUUGAGGUAGGCGGAAUUCGUGGUGUAGCGGUGAAAUGCUUAGAUAUCGCGAGGAACUCCGGUUGCGAAGGCAGCUUACUAGACUGCCACUGACAUUGAUGCUCGAAGGUGUGGGUAUCAAACGGGAUUAGAUACCCCUGUAGUC